UGGGGAACCUGCCCCAUAGUCUGGGAUACCACUUGGAAACAGGUGCUAAUACCGGAUAAGAAAGCAGAUCGCAUGAUCAGCUUUUAAAAGGCGGCGUAAGCUGUCGCUAUGGGAUGGCCCCGCGGUGCAUUAGCUAGUUGGUAAGGUAAAGGCUUACCAAGGCGAUGAUGCAUAGCCGAGUUGAGAGACUGAUCGGCCACAUUGGGACUGAGACACGGCCCAAACUCCUACGGGAGGCAGCAGUG
This 245-nucleotide ribosomal RNA is filed under the name uncultured Lactobacillus sp. Its description in RNAcentral is "partial 16S ribosomal RNA". It matches the Rfam family "Bacterial small subunit ribosomal RNA", at positions 118 to 356 of the family's 1533-position model. Lineage: Bacteria; Bacillati; Bacillota; Bacilli; Lactobacillales; Lactobacillaceae. The record is from RNAcentral.